Molecule: ribosomal RNA, 163 nt
Filed under: uncultured bacterium
Lineage: Bacteria
Description: partial 16S ribosomal RNA
Rfam family: Bacterial small subunit ribosomal RNA
Source: RNAcentral
GUAAUCGUGGAUCAGCAUGCCACGGUGAAUACGUUCCCGGGUCUUGUACACACCGCCCGUCACACCAUGGGAGUCGGUAACACCCGAAGUCAGUAGUCUAACCGCAAGGAGGACGCUGCCGAAGGUGGGAUUGACGACUGGGGUGAAGUCGUAACAAGGUAUC